GAUGAACGCUGGCGGCGUGCCUAAUACAUGCAAGUAGAACGCUGAAGCUUGGUGCUUGCACCGAGCGGAUGAGUUGCGAACGGGUGAGUAACGCGUAGGUAACCUGCCUGGUAGCGGGGGAUAACUAUUGGAAACGAUAGCUAAUACCGCAUGACAACAGUUAUUGCAUGAUAACUGUUUAAAAGGGGCAAUUGCUCCACUACCAGAUGGACCUGCGUUGUAUUAGCUAGUUGGUGAGGUAACGGCUCACCAAGGCGACGAUACAUAGCCGACCUGAGAGGGUGAUCGGCCACACUGGGACUGAGACACGGCCCAGACUCCUACGGGAGGCAGCAGUAGGGAAUCUUCGGCAAUGGACGGAAGUCUGACCGAGCAACGCCGCGUGAGUGAAGAAGGUUUUCGGAUCGUAAAGCUCUGUUGUAAGAGAAGAACGAGUGUGAGAGUGGAAAGUUCACACUGUGACGGUAUCUUACCAGAAAGGGACGGCUAACUACGUGCCAGCAGCCGCGGUAAUACGUAGGUCCCGAGCGUUAUCCGGAUUUAUUGGGCGUAAAGCGAGCGCAGGCGGUUAGAUAAGUCUGAAGUUAAAGGCUGUGGCUUAACCAUAGUACGCUUUGGAAACUGUUUAACUUGAGUGCAAGAGGGGAGAGUGGAAUUCCAUGUGUAGCGGUGAAAUGCGUAGAUAUAUGGAGGAACACCGGUUGGCGAAAGCGGCUCUCUGGCUUGUAACUGACGCUUAGGCUCGAAAGCGUGGGGAGCAACAGG
This 765-nucleotide ribosomal RNA is filed under the name uncultured Streptococcus sp. RNAcentral describes it as "bacterial SSU rRNA". It matches the Rfam family "Bacterial small subunit ribosomal RNA", at positions 28 to 775 of the family's 1533-position model. The record is from RNAcentral. Lineage: Bacteria; Bacillati; Bacillota; Bacilli; Lactobacillales; Streptococcaceae.